UUGUGUCAAUGGUCUUUGAAAAUAACCUUUCUAUCUCUGAUAAGAGUAAGGUCCUGUACACACAUGUCACACCCCGAACCUGGGGGCAAGACCGGCAUCCAGUGCCUCACCUAAUCUUGCAUACUAACUUGCGACUAAGGAACUCUAAACAUGUGAUGUCUUACUUUGGUCAUGGGCAAAAUUGCAAAAUAACUGCGAAUGCUGACUAAAUAUCAAUCUAAAGCUGGGCCGAGAAGGCACUCGUAGUUAUUGCACCUAACAAACCAACCAAAUAUACAUACAGGGGCUACAAGCCCAAAAUAUUGCACUAACUGGCAUGAUAUGUCU
This 327-nucleotide long non-coding RNA is filed under the name Nicotiana benthamiana. Its description in RNAcentral is "long non-coding RNA (NBEN_LNC003888)". The record is from RNAcentral. Lineage: Eukaryota; Viridiplantae; Streptophyta; Magnoliopsida; Solanales; Solanaceae.